RNAcentral lists this signal recognition particle RNA (90 nucleotides) under Candidatus Phytoplasma melaleucae. RNAcentral describes it as "signal recognition particle sRNA small type". It matches the Rfam family "Bacterial small signal recognition particle RNA". Rfam says of the family: The signal recognition particle (SRP) is a universally conserved ribonucleoprotein involved in the co-translational targeting of proteins to membranes. Archaeal SRP consists of a 7S RNA and homologues of the eukaryotic SRP19 and SRP54 proteins. Lineage: Bacteria; Bacillati; Mycoplasmatota; Mollicutes; Acholeplasmatales; Acholeplasmataceae. The record is from RNAcentral.
AAAUCAUCAUUCAAUGUAAAUUUUAAUGAAUCUGGUCAGGUCUUAAUUGAAGCAGCCAUAAGUUAAAUUGCAUGUGGAUGGUGAUUUUUA